Molecule: ribosomal RNA, 710 nt
Filed under: Phytophthora palmivora
Lineage: Eukaryota; Oomycota; Peronosporomycetes; Peronosporales; Peronosporaceae
Description: eukaryotic LSU rRNA
Rfam family: Eukaryotic large subunit ribosomal RNA
Source: RNAcentral
UAGUAACGGCGAGUGAAGCGGGAAGAGCUCAAGCUUAAAAUCUCCGUGCAAGUUUUGCGCGGCGAAUUGUAGUCUAUAGAGGCGUGGUCAGCGUGAGCACUUGGGGCAAGUUCCUUGGAAGAGGACAGCAUGGAGGGUGAUACUCCCGUUCAUCCCUGAGUUGCUCGUGCGUACGACCCGUUUUCUUUGAGUCGCGUUGUUUGGGAAUGCAGCGCAAAGUAGGUGGUAAAUUCCAUCUAAAGCUAAAUAUUGGUGCGAGACCGAUAGCGAACAAGUACCGUGAGGGAAAGAUGAAAAGAACUUUGAAAAGAGAGUUAAAGAGUACCUGAAACUGCUGAAAGGGAACCGAAUCGUUUCCAGUGUCUAUAAUCUGUGGCAUAUUUCAUUGGCGAGUGUGUGCGUGCGUGUGCUGUGGCAGUGGCUUUUUUGGCUGCGCUCGGUGUGUGUGCUGUGUGUGCUUGCUGGUGCCCUGUGCUGCGGUGGGACGUCAAGGUCAGUUCGUAUGCUGCGGGAAAUGGCUGCCGAGGAGGUAGGGCUUACGCUUGCGUUUGUCUGUUAUAUCUUGGUGGACGAGUAGUCGCGGUUGGGACUGAGGUGCCUACAACGUGCUUUUGAGUGUGUCUGUGUCUCCGUGUGCGCCGUGUGCGGAUAGCUUGCUAUGCGUGUGUGGUUGUGUGUGGAUUGAUGCGGGCUUUAACUUGUUGCCGUUC